This is a small nuclear RNA of Rattus norvegicus (Norway rat), 103 nucleotides long. The record is from Ensembl. Lineage: Eukaryota; Metazoa; Chordata; Mammalia; Rodentia; Muridae.
GUUCUCACCUCAGCAGCAUGUAUACUAAAUUUGGGACAAUUCAGGGAUGAUUAGCAUGGCCCCUAUGCAAGGAUGCCAUGCAUGUGAGUAGGUUUUUCUUUCU